Molecule: long non-coding RNA, 285 nt
Organism: Pantherophis guttatus
Lineage: Eukaryota; Metazoa; Chordata; Lepidosauria; Squamata; Colubridae
Source: RefSeq, a predicted model, not a curated record
CAUCUGACUCCCAUUGAGAAUUAGCUCUUUUAUUCUACAAGCUCCAAGGUUUGAAGGGCAUCAUUCUUCUUCCUCAUCUGUUGUUUCUCUGGAAGACAUUUGGCAGCAAGCUGAGUAAUGACUGAUGUACUACAUGGCUCCCUACCAAGUGGUGGAUCCAUAAUUCCAAAGUUGGCAUGGCUGAUAGAUAUAAUACUACCCAAAAUAUAUACUACUGAGGAAAAUCAUCUGGCAGUCUGAGAUCAUGCUUCUUUCAGGCUGGAGGCAUGCAAUUAUUCUAUCAUC